UGUUUAUGUCUACACCCCAUGCUACGUGUGAUUUCCUGUGGGAUAAUUAAAUUCUGUGGUUUGUACUCCUGGUCUCCAUGUUCCUUGCUCUGUGCUCCUCACAGUAGCAUACGUGUGCCAGAAUACUGGACCAAAAAAAAAAAAAAUGAUGAUGGCUGAGGAUAAGCUGUGGGGUUUGUGGCAAGCCGGUCGGAGGUUGGAGCGGCAUGUGGAGGAUUUCAUUGAGCUAGUUUACUGAUGCUGCUCUUGGUGCGUUCUUUCUACUGGGACUGGACAACGAAAUGAUCCGCUGUGAUCUUCCUGUCUCUGAUUUUCCCCUGAUCGAGCUGAUUAAUCUCGUACUCUUUUUGAAUGUCCCUUUUUGUCGGCUCCAGCCCCAGAGCUCGCUCCAGUGUUGGCUCCAGCCCCAGAGCUCUCUCCAGUGUCGGCUCCAGCCCCAGAGCUCUCUCCAGUGUCGGCUCCAGCCGCAGAGCUCGCUCCAGUGUCGGCUCCAGCCCCAGAGCUCACUCCAGUGUCGGCUCUAACCCCAGAGCUCACUCCAGUGCCAGCUCCUCGAAAGUGCUUUGCUGUGACUGCUCCUCCAGAGCAUCCUCCAGUGCCAGCACCAUGUAAGCGCAUCCCCGAUCCCGAGUUAAGCCCAGGAAGGGCUCCCGAUCCCCAGUUCAGCCCAGGAGAGGCUUCUUUUCCUGAGUAUAGCCCACGGAGAACUCUCGAUCCCCAGUCAAGGCCAGGAAGGGCUCCUGAUCCCCAGUCAAGCCCAGGGAAGGCUCCCGAUCCAGAGUCAAGCCCAGGAUGGGCUCCCGUUCCCAAGUAAAGCCCAUGAUGGGCUCCCGUUCCCAAGUAAAGCCCAGGAUUGGCUCCCGUUCCCUCAUUAAGCCCUGGGAGGGCUCCAGGCCCCGAGAACAGCCCAGUAAAUUUCCCCAAGGCUGGGGCCGCGGCCUCGGAAGCUGCUCCACCAUGGCAGUCUUUCCUGUAGGGAUCUCCAAGUUGCCUGCCCUCCCACCCAUAUGAUGUUGUAUGGCGCGAGGACGUGCCUUCCAGAAGGGGGCUUCAUGUCAGGCUUGUGUUGUGUUUUGUUCCCUUGUGCUCCCUAUGUCCCAGUGUUUAUGUCCAUAUUUGGUUAGUUUCCUGUUCCUGUCCUGAUCAUGUUGAUUUCAUUCCAGGUGUCCCCUGUUUAAUUUCCAUUGAUUCCAGGUGUGUCUCAUCCCCUCCUCCUGUCAUGUGCUGAAAUUGUGUUCCCUGUUUUCAGUUCAGCGUCCGGUAUUGUUUGUCUACACCCUGUGCUAUGUGUGUUCCCUGUGGGAUAAUUAAACUCUGUGGUUUGUACUCCUG
Long non-coding RNA from Cyprinus carpio carpio, 1332 nucleotides. Lineage: Eukaryota; Metazoa; Chordata; Actinopteri; Cypriniformes; Cyprinidae. The record is from Ensembl.